Thalassophryne amazonica is the source of this 890-nucleotide long non-coding RNA. RefSeq lists it as uncharacterized. The record is from RefSeq and is a predicted model, not a curated record. NCBI's taxonomy places the organism in Eukaryota, Metazoa, Chordata, Actinopteri, Batrachoidiformes, Batrachoididae. The transcript is spliced from 2 exons.
UUCUUACAAAGAUGUUUCAGAUAAAUACAAAUCACUACGAUAAAAUGUCUAUUUCCUAACUUGACAAUCAAGCUUGAGCUUACAAAAUGUAAUUACAUGACAACUGAAACUUUCCUUUGACUGCUUGCAUGUAUUUGACAACAACUCCAUGAUUAGGAUCCGGACAGGUAAUAAGAAAGCGGUGAAUUUCUUCUAAAUGUUGGACGCUGGUUUUGCUGGAUCUUAGGGAGUUCAUUUGAUCCAAGAGAAACUUUUUGCACGUAAAGCUUUGCAUUACCUACUGUAAAUUCAUAUCUAUAUUCAACCACAAAAUUCAAAACUAUAUAUACAUGUAUUUAUUUACAAAUAAAACAUUAUACAUCACAUAGGCUUGCUAUGAUGAUAUGAGAUAAAGCCAUGUAUGUAAGUCAGAUAUGGUCUUUACACACUGUGAAACCAACAACCACUAACAUGAAAUGUUUUACUUCCCUGAAUCCCUCAGCAGCUUCAGAACAUGUUUUUAACAAGAGCUGCCAGAUGCGUCGCAUCACAGCUGAAUCCAGUUGAACAUCACAUAUUCACACACAAUAUUUAGGAAGUUGAUGAUCUUGUUUAAAGCUGUUUUAAACAGUGCCCCUCAUAGGUCCAUAAGUACUUGGACAGUGACCCUCCCACCUCCUCAAUUUGUCCUCUGUACAUCACCAAGUCCACUUUCAGAUUUAAUUCAAAGAGCUGAACAAAAAUAAGGAAAUCAGGGCUGGGGGACCCUGUGUGCCCUGAUAGAACCUACCCAGUGGGCUAUGCUCUCGACGCCUGAGAAAAAUGGAUGCUUGGCUCCACUCUCUGUGGAAGACAUUGAGGAUUCAUUUAUAUACUUUUAUGGUGGCAGGUUUGGCGGUGAUUGGUUUGUG